AAGGAUUUAAGUUAAAUAAAAAACUAAUAGCCUUCAAAGCUAUAAUUAGAGAGGCUCUCUAGGCCUUA
RNAcentral lists this transfer RNA (68 nucleotides) under Usechus lacerta. Its description in RNAcentral is "tRNA-Trp". The record is from RNAcentral. Lineage: Eukaryota; Metazoa; Arthropoda; Insecta; Coleoptera; Zopheridae.